RNAcentral lists this ribosomal RNA (326 nucleotides) under uncultured eukaryote. RNAcentral's name for it is "partial 18S ribosomal RNA". It matches the Rfam family "Eukaryotic small subunit ribosomal RNA", at positions 1470 to 1796 of the family's 1831-position model. The record is from RNAcentral.
CCCUUAGAUGUCCUGGGCCGCACGCGCGCUACACUGAUGCAUUCAACAAGCCUAGCCUUGACCGAGAGGUCCGGGUAAUCUUUGAAACUGCAUCGUGAUGGGGCUAGAUUGUUGCAAUUAUUAAUCUUCAACGAGGAAUGCCUAGUAAGCGUGAUUCAUCAAAUCGCGUUGAUUACGUCCCUGCCCUUUGUACACACCGCCCGUCGCUCCUACCGAUUGAAUGUGUUGGUGAGGAGCUCGGAUUGGCAGCAGUUGGUGGUUCGCCACCGGCUAUUGCUGAGAAGUCCUCCAAACCGCCCCAUUUAGAGGAAGGAGAAGUCGUAACA